Molecule: unclassified non-coding RNA, 330 nt
Filed under: soil metagenome
Description: partial contains 5.8S ribosomal RNA, internal transcribed spacer 2, and large subunit ribosomal RNA
Rfam family: 5.8S ribosomal RNA (bases 1-120)
Source: RNAcentral
GAUGAAGAACGUAGCAAAAUGCGAUAAGUAAUGUGAAUUGCAGAAUUCAGUGAAUCAUCGAAUCUUUGAACGCACAUUGCGCCCGCCAGUAUUCUGGCGGGCAUGCCUGUUCGAGCGUCAUUUCAACCCUCAAGCACAGCUUGGUGUUGGGACUCGCGUUAAUUCGCGUUCCUCAAAUUGAUUGGCGGUCACGUCGAGCUUCCAUAGCGUAGUAGUAAAACCCUCGUUACUGGUAAUCGUCGCGGCCACGCCGUUAAACCCCAACUUCUGAAUGUUGACCUCGGAUCAGGUAGGAAUACCCGCUGAACUUAAGCAUAUCAAUAAGCGGAG